Molecule: long non-coding RNA, 358 nt
Organism: Gasterosteus aculeatus aculeatus (three-spined stickleback)
Lineage: Eukaryota; Metazoa; Chordata; Actinopteri; Perciformes; Gasterosteidae
Source: Ensembl
AAAUUGAAAACAUCACACUUGACUCCCCUCACAUGUUUUGGCCGUCGGUGUUGAAUACUGCAAAUUAGAGUUCGUUAAAAGAUUAUUCAGGAAAGCCGUUUCCUGGUAAGAAAGGUCCGACUGACGGACAAAAUAUUUCUCUUGAGCACUUUAACUUUAACGAUGAAAAGAUUGAGGCAACUCGAAAUUCGUACCGGUGUCUCCGGGGGCCCAGAUGGCGUUCCAGCGCUCGCUCACUGCAGACUGCAGCCAUGUGAAAGUGCUCUGCUCACGCCUCAACAGUAGCUGAACGGACGGAUCAAUAGACUUCACACACACGAAUCAAGUCAAGAAAAAGGAACGAAAGUCAAGGCUGAGG